AUCCAGCUGGCGAGUUCUAAAUAGGACGAAAUGUGCAUCCUGGAU
This 45-nucleotide non-coding RNA is filed under the name Trichobilharzia regenti. Lineage: Eukaryota; Metazoa; Platyhelminthes; Trematoda; Strigeidida; Schistosomatidae. The record is from RNAcentral.